UAUAAAUACAGUUUUGCACUAUUUAUUUUUAAUAUUUGACCAUUCGUUUUAUUUAAAUUUUUUUUUAUGAUUACUAUUUUUAUUGUUAUUAGAUGAUAAAACAUAAAUAAUAAUUUAUGUGUGACUAACUUUUUUUAAAUUUUUCAUAAAAUUUUUAAAUAAGACGGACGGUCAAACGUUGGACACGAAUUUUCAUUGCUGUAUUUAUU
Non-coding RNA from Oryza glaberrima (African rice), 209 nucleotides. NCBI's taxonomy places the organism in Eukaryota, Viridiplantae, Streptophyta, Magnoliopsida, Poales, Poaceae. The record is from Rfam.